Molecule: ribosomal RNA, 275 nt
Filed under: uncultured bacterium
Lineage: Bacteria
Description: partial 16S ribosomal RNA
Rfam family: Bacterial small subunit ribosomal RNA
Source: RNAcentral
CCUACGGGGGGCAGCAGUGAGGAAUAUUGGUCAAUGGGCGAGAGCCUGAACCAGCCAAGUCGCGUGAAGGAAGAAUGUCCUAUGGAUUGUAAACUUCUUUUUUAGGGGAAUAAAGUGCACCACGUGUGGUGUUUUGUAUGUACCCUACGAAUAAGGAUCGGCUAACUCCGUGCCAGCAGCCGCGGUAAUACGGAGGAUCCAAGCGUUAUCCGGAUUUAUUGGGUUUAAAGGGUGCGCAGGCGGGAUAAUAAGUCAGUGGUGAAAGUUUGCAGCUU